GGGGCUCCUGGGCGGGGCCCGAAGGCGACAAAUUCGGGGCCCAGAAAUACGAGGGGGGCACCGGGUGCUGGCAGGGACCCAACCGGGCCACAACGGUGCGGCUCAGGUGUGGCCCCUCCACGGCGCUGGCGGCGGCGUCGGAGCCGAGUCGCUGCGAGUACCUGCUGGAGCUGGAGACACCCGCGGCCUGCAGGGAGCAACCGGCGCUGCACGAGGAGCACGAUGAGCUCUGAGACACCCAAAAUGGCCCAAAAUCACCCCAAAAAUAACCUGAAAUAUCCUGAAAUUAUCCCAUAAAAUACCCACAAAAUAUCCCAAAAACCAGUUCAGAAUUAUCCCAAAAUGCCCCAACCUGCAGGGAGCAACCGGCGCUGCACGAGGAGCACGACGAGCUCUGAGAGACCCAAAACGGCCCAAAAUAUCCCCAAAAAUAUCCUGAAAAUGUCCUGAAAAUAUCCCUGAAAAUGUCCUGAAAAUAUCC
Molecule: non-coding RNA, 481 nt
Organism: Agelaius phoeniceus (red-winged blackbird)
Lineage: Eukaryota; Metazoa; Chordata; Aves; Passeriformes; Icteridae
Source: RefSeq, a predicted model, not a curated record